GGCUAACACAUGCAGUCGUAGCGGUACAGAGAGUAGCUUGCUACUUUGCUGACGAGCGGCGGACGGGUGAGUAAUGCUUGGGAACAUGCCUUGAGGUGGGGGACAACAGUUGGAAACGACUGCUAAUACCGCAUAAUGUCUACGGACCAAAUGGGGGCUUCGGCUCUCGCCUUUAGAUUGGCCCAAGUGGGAUUAGCUAGUUGGUGAGGUAAUGGCUCACCAAGGCGACGAUCCCUAGCUGGUUUGAGAGGAUGAUCAGCCACACUGGGACUGAGACACGGCCCAGACUCCUACGGGAGGCAGCAGUGGGGAAUAUUGCACAAUGGGCGCAAGCCUGAUGCAGCCAUGCCGCGUGUGUGAAGAAGGCCUUCGGGUUGUAAAGCACUUUCAGUCAGGAGGAAAGGUUAGNAGUUAAUACCUGCUAGCUGUGACGGUUACUGACAGAAGAAGCACCGGCUAACUCCGUGCCAGCAGCCGCGGUAAUACGGAGGGUGCGAGCGUUAAUCGGAAUUACUGGGCGUAAAGCGUACGCAGGCGGUUU
This 541-nucleotide ribosomal RNA is filed under the name Pseudoalteromonas sp. UST050418-277. Its description in RNAcentral is "bacterial SSU rRNA". It matches the Rfam family "Bacterial small subunit ribosomal RNA", at positions 45 to 581 of the family's 1533-position model. The record is from RNAcentral. Lineage: Bacteria; Pseudomonadati; Pseudomonadota; Gammaproteobacteria; Alteromonadales; Pseudoalteromonadaceae.